AACACCCCCUGCCAGCACCACAGGUGGGGCUGUUCUAGUGUACCUGUGACAUCAGGGCAAACAGCAAGUGGUUAUCUCUGUGCUCAGUGAGCACUAAGAAUGGUUUACAGCCUGACAUUU
Molecule: small nucleolar RNA, 120 nt
Organism: Sciurus vulgaris (Eurasian red squirrel)
Lineage: Eukaryota; Metazoa; Chordata; Mammalia; Rodentia; Sciuridae
Source: Ensembl